Molecule: ribosomal RNA, 266 nt
Filed under: uncultured bacterium
Lineage: Bacteria
Description: partial 16S ribosomal RNA
Rfam family: Bacterial small subunit ribosomal RNA
Source: RNAcentral
AUUGAACGCUGGCGGAAUGCUUUACACAUGCAAGUCGAGCGGCAGCGCGGGGGCAACCCUGGCGGCGAGCGGCGAACGGGUGAGUAAUACAUCGGAACAUGUCCAGUUGUGGGGAUAGCCCGGCGAAAGCCGGAUUAAUACCGCAUGAGCUCUGGCGAGGAAAGCGGGGGACCGAAAGGCCUCGCGCGACUGGGUUGGCCGAUGUCCGAUUAGCUAGUUGGUGGGGUAAAGGCUCACCAAGGCGAUGAUCGGUAGCUGGUCUGAGA